RNAcentral lists this ribosomal RNA (360 nucleotides) under uncultured bacterium. RNAcentral describes it as "bacterial SSU rRNA". It matches the Rfam family "Bacterial small subunit ribosomal RNA", at positions 29 to 416 of the family's 1533-position model. The record is from RNAcentral.
AACGAACGCUGGCGGCAGGCCUAACACAUGCAAGUCGAGCGGUCCCUUUGGGGGCAGCGGCGGACGGGUGAGUAACGCGUGGGAACCUGGCCUUGGGUGCGGGAUAACGUCGGGAAACUGGCGCUAAUACCGCAUAAUGUCUACUGACCAAAGAUUUAUCGCCCAAGGAUGGGCCCGCGUUGGAUUAGCUAGAUGGUGGGGUAACGGCCUACCAUGGCGACGAUCCAUAGCUGGUUUGAGAGGAUGAUCAGCCACACUGGGACUGAGACACGGCCCAGACUCCUACGGGAGGCAGCAGUGGGGAAUUUUGGACAAUGGGCGAAAGCCUGGUCCAGCAAUGCCGCGUGCAGGAUGAAGGCC